Molecule: ribosomal RNA, 438 nt
Filed under: uncultured bacterium
Lineage: Bacteria
Description: bacterial SSU rRNA
Rfam family: Bacterial small subunit ribosomal RNA
Source: RNAcentral
CAGGCCUAACACAUGCAAGUCGAACGAGAUCCUUUGGGGUCUAGUGGCGCACGGGUGCGUAACGCGUGGGAAUCUGCCCUUGGGUUCGGAAUAACAGUGGGAAACUACUGCUAAUACCGGAUGAUGACGUUAAGUCCAAAGAUUUAUCGCCCAGGGAUGAGCCCGCGUAGGAUUAGCUAGUUGGUGGGGUAAAGGCCUACCAAGGCGACGAUCCUUAGCUGGUCUGAGAGGAUGAUCAGCCACACUGGGACUGAGACACGGCCCAGACUCCUACGGGAGGCAGCAGUGGGGAAUAUUGGACAAUGGGCGAAAGCCUGAUCCAGCAAUGCCGCGUGAGUGAUGAAGGCCCUAGGGUUGUAAAGCUCUUUUACCCGGGAUGAUAAUGACAGUACCGGGAGAAUAAGCUCCGGCUAACUCCGUGCCAGCAGCCGCGGUAAU